ACCUAGUUUAACCACACCCACAAGGGAAUCCAGCAGUAAUCAACAUUGAGCAUAAGCGACAGCUUGACUCAGUUAGAGUGAACAGGGCUGGCAAAUCCGGUGCCAGCCGCCGCGGCUAUACCGCGAGGCCCAAAUUGAUUUUUUCCGGCGUAAAGCGUGAUUAAAGUUACUAGCACAAUUAUAGUCGUACCAGAACUAAGCCGUAACACGCUUGUACCUGAGAAGAACAAAAACGAAAGUUACUAUAUGCCACCCCCACUUGAAUCCACGACAGCUGGGAAACAAACUGGGAUUAGAUACCCCACUAUGCCCAGCCGUAAACUUUUAAUUACAUCCGUAUCGCCUGGGAACUACGAGCUAAGCUUAAAACCCAAAGGACUUGACGGUACCCCAUAUCCACCUAGAGGAGCCUGUCCUAUAAUCGAUAAUCCCCGCUAAACCUCACCAUUUUUAGCAUAUCAGCCUAUAUACCUCCGUCGUCAGCCUACCCCGUGAGUGACCCAUAGUGCGCUUAAUGUUAUUACAUCAGUACGUCAGGUCAAGGUGCAGUAAAUGAAAUGGGAAGAGAUGGGCUACACUCUCUAGUAUAGAGAAUACAAAAGACUACUUAUGAAAUUUAGUUGGAAGGCGGAUUUAGAAGUAAAAAGAGAUCAUAGAGCUCUUUUUAAUACGGCACUG
RNAcentral lists this ribosomal RNA (678 nucleotides) under Duellmanohyla salvavida. RNAcentral's name for it is "partial small subunit ribosomal RNA". It matches the Rfam family "Bacterial small subunit ribosomal RNA", at positions 331 to 1376 of the family's 1533-position model. The record is from RNAcentral. Lineage: Eukaryota; Metazoa; Chordata; Amphibia; Anura; Hylidae.